AUGGGGGAAGUGAGAGGGAAAUGGGGGAAUUGGGAAAAAACAGGGAGGAAAUGGGGGGAAAAGUGGGAAAAAUGGGAGGGAAAUGGUGAAAUUUGGAGAAAAUUGGGGAAGAAUGGGGGAAAUUGGGGGGAGGGAGGGGAAAUAGGGGAAAUGGGAAAGAAUGGGGGAAAUUGGGUAAAAAUGGGGGAAUUGGGGAAAAUUGGGAGGAAAUUGAGGGGAAAUGGGGAAAAUUGGGGGGAAAAUGGGGGGUUCUCUCCCCAUUACUGGGUUCCCCAUUUUCAAGGUUCUCUCCCCAUUUUUGGGGUUCUCUCCCCGUUUAUUUUUUUGGGUUCCCUAAUUUUGGGUUCCCCUUUGUCAAGUUUCUCUCUCCAUUUUUGGGUUCCCCAUUUCUGGGGUCCUGCCCCCUUUUUGUGGUUCUCUCCCAAUUUUGGGUUCCCCAUUUUCAGGUUUCUGUCCCCAGUUUUGGGCUCCCCAUUUUCGGGGUCCUGCCCCAAUUUUGGGAUCCUGCCCCAUUUUUGGGUUCCCCAUUUUGGGGUCCUGCCCUGUUUUCAGGUUCCCCGUUUUUGGGAUCCUGCCCUGUUUUUGGGAUCCUGCCCCAUUUUGGGGUCCUGCCCCGUUUUUGGGGUCCUGCCCCAUUUUGGGGUCCUGCCCCAUUUUCGGGGUCCUGCCCCAUUUUUGGGUCCUGCCCCAUUUUUGGGUCCUGCCCUGUUUUCGGGUCCUGCCCCAUUUUUGGGUCCUGCCCCAUUUUUGGGUCCUGCCCUGUUUUCGGGGUCCUGCCCCAUUUUUGGGUCCUGCCCCAUUUUUGGGUCCUGCCCUGUUUUCGGGGUCCUGCCCCAUUUUUGGGUCCUGCCCCAUUUUUGGGUCCUGCCCUGUUUGGGGAUCCUGCCCCAUUUUUGGGUCCUGCCCCAUUUUUGGGUCCUGCCCUGUUUUCGGGGUCCUGCCCCAUUUUUGGGUCCUGCCCCAUUUUUGGGUCCUGCCCUGUUUUCGGGGUCCUGCCCCAUUUUUGGGUCCUGCCCCAUUUUUGGGUCCUGCCCUGUUUUCGGGGUCCUGCCCCAUUUUUGGGUCCUGCCCCAUUUUUGGGUCCUGCCCUGUUUUCGGGUCCUGCCCCAUUUUUGGGUCCUGCCCCAUUUUUGGGUCCUGCCCUGUUUUCGGGGUCCUGCCCCAUUUUUGGGUCCUGCCCCAUUUUUGGGUCCUGCCCUGUUUCGGGGUCCUGCCCGUUCCGGGGUCCCUGACUGA
Molecule: long non-coding RNA, 1236 nt
Filed under: Ficedula albicollis (Collared flycatcher)
Lineage: Eukaryota; Metazoa; Chordata; Aves; Passeriformes; Muscicapidae
Description: lncRNA (ENSFALG00000027522.1)
Source: RNAcentral